This 71-nucleotide transfer RNA is filed under the name Marmota monax (woodchuck). Its description in RNAcentral is "tRNA.Ser". It matches the Rfam family "tRNA". From Rfam's summary of the family: Transfer RNA (tRNA) molecules are approximately 80 nucleotides in length. Their secondary structure includes four short double-helical elements and three loops (D, anti-codon, and T loops). Lineage: Eukaryota; Metazoa; Chordata; Mammalia; Rodentia; Sciuridae. The record is from RNAcentral.
GGGGCUGUAACUUAGUGGCAGAGUGCUUGCCUUGAAUGUGUGAGGCACUGAGUUUGAUUCUCAGCACCACA